AGAGUUUGAUCCUGGCUCAGAUUGAACGCUGGCGGCAGGCCUAACACAUGCAAGUCGAACGGGAACAUUUCUAGCUUGCUAGAAGAUGACGAGUGGCGGACGGGUGAGUAAUGCUUGGGAACUUGCCUUUGUGAGGGGGAUAACAGUUGGAAACGACUGCUAAUACCGCAUAAUGUCUUCGGACCAAACGGGGCUUAGGCUCCGGCGCAAAGAGAGGCCCAAGUGAGAUUAGCUAGUUGGUAAGGUAACGGCUUACCAAGGCGACGAUCUCUAGCUGUUCUGAGAGGAAGAUCAGCCACACUGGGACUGAGACACGGCCCAGACUCCUACGGGAGGCAGCAGUGGGGAAUAUUGCACAAUGGGGGAAACCCUGAUGCAGCCAUGCCGCGUGUGUGAAGAAGGCCUUCGGGUUGUAAAGCACUUUCAGUUGUGAGGAAAAGUUAGUAGUUAAUACCUGCUAGCCGUGACGUUAACAACAGAAGAAGCACCGGCUAACUCCGUGCCAGCAGCCGCGGUAAUACGGAGGGUGCGAGCGUUAAUCGGAAUUACUGGGCGUAAAGCGCACGCAGGCGGUUUGUUAAGCUAGAUGUGAAAGCCCCGGGCUCAACCUGGGAUGGUCAUUUAGAACUGGCAGACUAGAGUCUUGGAGAGGGGAGUGGAAUUCCAGGUGUAGCGGUGAAAUGCGUAGAUAUCUGGAGGAACAUCAGUGGCGAA
RNAcentral lists this ribosomal RNA (714 nucleotides) under uncultured Alteromonas sp. RNAcentral's name for it is "bacterial SSU rRNA". It matches the Rfam family "Bacterial small subunit ribosomal RNA", at positions 8 to 719 of the family's 1533-position model. Lineage: Bacteria; Pseudomonadati; Pseudomonadota; Gammaproteobacteria; Alteromonadales; Alteromonadaceae. The record is from RNAcentral.